AUUGAACGCUGGCGGCAUGCUUUACACAUGCAAGUCGAACGGCAGCGCGGGGCAACCUGGCGGCGAGUGGCGAACGGGUGAGUAAUAUAUCGGAACGUACCCAGAAGUGGGGGAUAACGUAGCGAAAGUUACGCUAAUACCGCAUACGAUCUACGGAUGAAAGUGGGGGACCUUCGGGCCUCAUGCUUUUGGAGCGGCCGAUAUCUGAUUAGCUAGUUGGUGAGGUAAAGGCUCACCAAGGCGACGAUCAGUAGCUGGCCUGAGAGGACGACCAGCCACACUGGGACUGAGACACGGACCAGACUCCUACGGGAGGCAGCAGUGAGGAAUAUUGGACAAUGGGCGCAAGCCUGAUCCAGCCAUGCCGCGUGCAGGAAGAAGCAUCUAUGGUGUGUAAACUGCUUUUGUACGGGAAGAAACACUCCUACGUGUAGGAGCUUGACGGUACCGUAAGAAUAAGGAUCGGCUAACUCCGUGCCAGCAGCCGCGGUAAU
RNAcentral lists this ribosomal RNA (494 nucleotides) under uncultured bacterium. RNAcentral describes it as "bacterial SSU rRNA". It matches the Rfam family "Bacterial small subunit ribosomal RNA", at positions 30 to 524 of the family's 1533-position model. The record is from RNAcentral.